Molecule: ribosomal RNA, 253 nt
Filed under: uncultured bacterium
Lineage: Bacteria
Description: partial 16S ribosomal RNA
Rfam family: Archaeal small subunit ribosomal RNA
Source: RNAcentral
UACCAGCACCCCGAGUGGUCGGGACGUUUAUUGGGCCUAAAGCAUCCGUAGCCGGUUCUACAAGUCUUCCGUUAAAUCCACCUGCUUAACAGAUGGGCUGCGGAAGAUACUAUAGAGCUAGGAGGCGGGAGAGGCAAGCGGUACUCGAUGGGUAGGGGUAAAAUCCGUUGAUCCAUUGAAGGCCCCCAGUGGCGAAGGCGGCUUGCCAGAACGCGCUCGACGGUGAGGGAUGAAAGCUGGGGGAGCAAACCGG